AUUGAACGCUGGCGGCAGGCCUAACACAUGCAAGUCGAACGGUAACAGGAAGACGCUUGCUUCUUUGCUGACGAGUGGCGGACGGGUGAGUAAUGUCUGGGAAACUGCCUGAUGGAGGGGGAUAACUACUGGAAACGGUAGCUAAUACCGCAUAACGUCGCAAGACCAAAAAGGGGGACCUUCGGGCCUCUUGCCAUCGGAUGUGCCCAGAUGGGAUUAGCUAGUAGGUGGGGUAACGGCUCACCUAGGCGACGAUCCCUAGCUGGUCUGAGAGGAUGACCAGCCACACUGGAACUGAGACACGGUCCAGACUCCUACGGGAGGCAGCAGUGGGGAAUAUUGCACAAUGGGCGCAAGCCUGAUGCAGCCAUGCCGCGUGUAUGAAGAAGGCCUUCGGGUUGUAAAGUACUUUCAGCGGGGAGGAAGGGAGUAAAGUUAAUACCUUGGCUCAUUGACGUUACCCGCAGAAGAAGCACCGGCUAACUCCGUG
Molecule: ribosomal RNA, 490 nt
Filed under: uncultured bacterium
Lineage: Bacteria
Description: partial 16S ribosomal RNA
Rfam family: Bacterial small subunit ribosomal RNA
Source: RNAcentral